CCAGAUGCAAAUAUUGAAUAAAAAUGUAGAAGGUAGAUAAUAAUUUUUUUGCAAUUUACGAGCAACAGAUCUUAAGGAAAGCUUAGUUAAAUUGGAAGCUAAAACACAAAGAUUCAAACUCGCCUACAAACGGAAGUGAUAGCACAAAGAAAGCUUGUAAAAGGAAAUAAGACUCGAAUGCUGCUACUACCUAAGUCCUUUGAUAAAUUAGAAGACCUUAAAUAAUUUAAAGAGGACCUAAACGAUUCAGCUGAAUUGUGUGAACAACUGGAGACAAAAAUGAUAAACUAUAACAUUUCCGAUCCUGCUAAAUUUCUGCGCACUAUUUGGAAAAAAAUGUUUACGGAUGAUGAUGUUACCAAGUAUUCGUGGGACCAACACCAAAAUCUGUGUCCUAAGCUUGGCAAUUACACCAGCAGUUAGAAAUUCUUUCAAUAAAAAAUUUGCUGUCGACGAGAAGCAAUUCUCAUUAAUAUGCAGCAAAUGGUUCCAAACAGCCAAUGACAGAAUUAAAUAUUAUAACAAAACAGACAAAAAAGUAAAACAAA
Long non-coding RNA from Drosophila elegans, 548 nucleotides. RefSeq lists it as uncharacterized. The transcript is spliced from 3 exons. NCBI's taxonomy places the organism in Eukaryota, Metazoa, Arthropoda, Insecta, Diptera, Drosophilidae. The record is from RefSeq and is a predicted model, not a curated record.